CCAUCAUACCAUAGACCAAGCAAACCCCACUUGGUCCAUGGCAAAGCAUGGACCAAGCUUUACCUCGUUACUUUUUUUUUCUCUCCCACCAAGGCAGCCAUGGUCAUUGUUACGGACCCUUAGCCCUGUGAAUACAGAUUUGGCACUUUUAGUAGAUUUUUUUUCCUUUUUCUGUUUACGUCGCAUCUCUUUAUGAAAAGGGGGACGUUCCAGAGAGUUUAUAGGGAAGGAGGCAGCCCAGCCGAAUAUGGGCCAGAGGGCCCACUAGGUGCCGCCCUUUCUCCCAUUCAUUCACCACGAGAAAAAUCCUGAGAGUAGGAGGGUUUUUCGGAAAAGAAAAAUCACGACGUCUCUGCUAAGUUUGGGUGAAGAUUCGUGUCUUCGAUCUUCGAUGAGG
RNAcentral lists this long non-coding RNA (397 nucleotides) under Brachypodium distachyon (stiff brome). RNAcentral's name for it is "long non-coding RNA (BDIS_LNC001253)". The record is from RNAcentral. Lineage: Eukaryota; Viridiplantae; Streptophyta; Magnoliopsida; Poales; Poaceae.